UUAGUUGCCAUCAUUCAGUUGGGCACUCUAAUGAGACUGCCGGUGACAAACCGGAGGAAGGUGGGGAUGACGUCAAGUCCUCAUGGCCCUUAUGGGUAGGGCUUCACACGUCAUACAAUGGUCGGUACAGAGGGUUGCCAACCCGCGAGGGGGAGCUAAUCCCACAAAGCCGAUCGUAGUCCGGAUCGCAGUCUGCAACUCGACUGCGUGAAGUCGGAAUCGCUAGUAAUCGUGA
RNAcentral lists this ribosomal RNA (235 nucleotides) under uncultured bacterium. RNAcentral describes it as "partial 16S ribosomal RNA". It matches the Rfam family "Bacterial small subunit ribosomal RNA", at positions 1111 to 1347 of the family's 1533-position model. The record is from RNAcentral.